Long non-coding RNA from Manis pentadactyla (Chinese pangolin), 673 nucleotides. RefSeq lists it as uncharacterized. Lineage: Eukaryota; Metazoa; Chordata; Mammalia; Pholidota; Manidae. The transcript is spliced from 2 exons. The record is from RefSeq and is a predicted model, not a curated record.
GGGGGGGAAUGAUGGGCAGUGCUGCCCGCGAGGCCGGGAGGACGUUGGGGGCUUCGGGGCCGCGGAGGGCUCCGAGUGCUCUGGGGCGCGUUUGGUGGGGUUGGAGGGACCACCCGGGGAGGGACGGGAAGCCCAACUCGGACCCCGGCUUCAGCGGCGUCCUGGUCUCGAAAGAGACGGGAAAGCGUCUCUGGCCCCGGGGGCUUCAGGGCGGGCUGGGGUCUGAACCAGCACCCCGAGACUCUUGGGCAAGGGCCCGUUAGCAAUCAGAGCUGUAGAGCGGCAGCCGCCACAUCCCGAAGUGAUUGCGCCGUAAUGUAAAUGGGGAAACGGGAAGGUGGACACGGGCCCACAGGAGGCAAGUGGAUAAAGAUGCACAGCUUAAAAAAAAACUAUGAAGUUACUAGAAGAAAAUGUAGGUUAUCUUGUAGAAUUUUGGGGUAGCGUGUUCUUCUGAAGCUGUCAAAAACCAUAGAAGAGUUGGCAGAUUUGACUACUAAAAAAUGAAAAGCUGGGCAGCCAAGGUGGUGAACGGAGAGCGGGAGACUUGGGCUGUGCCAGAGCUGGAAGGGUGCCUUGCCCUCCAGGAAGAUGAUGGUGGAGGAAGUAGGACCAACCAUAAAACUACGCCAAAGAAAAAUGCCGGUCUUGAGAGAAGAGAGAACCUGCCAAA